AGGCUGUCCUCGAACUCCUGGGCUCAAGCAGUCCUCCCAUGUCAGCCUCUAGAUUAGCUGGGACUAUUCGGCACACACCACCACACCCAACGAAGUGAAUAUUUUAUAUGCCAGCUGGCCGGUAUUACACCAUUCCAUCCCAAAUCUCCCCUCCAAACUUGGUGAAAAUCAUCUGACCAUUUUUACAGAUUAGAACGAAAGCAAACAAGCUCUCACUCUGUCUGCCCCCAGCACGAGGCUGUCCACACGGAGCUUUUGGAUGAGCUGUACGAGGCGCUGGCGGAGACCCUGAUGGCCAAGGAGUCCACCCAGGGCCACUGGAGCUAUUUGCUGCCCUCGGAAGGCUCGGUCACACUCUCCGAGCACAGCCAUCAUCUCCCACGGUACCACAGGCCUGGUCACAUGGGACGCUGCCCGCUACCUUGCAGAAUGGGCCAUCAAGAACCCGGCAGCCUUCACUAACAGACGUGCUGUAUUGCCCAGAAGCCAUCGUGUCGCUGGUCAGGGUCCUGCGGAGGCUGGCUGCCUGCUGGGAGCACCAGCGGGCUCCUGAGGUCUACAUGGCCUUUACCGUCCACAACCCAGAGACGUGCCAGCUGUUCACCACUGAGCUAGGCUGGGCUGGGAUCAGAUGGGAAGCGGAAGCUCAUCAUGACCAGAAACUGUUUCCCUAUGGAGAGCACUUGGAGAUGGCAAUGCUGAACCUCACACUGUAGGACUCAUACACGACUCCAAUGGGAUUGUUAGAAUCAAAUCACUCUCGUGGGAAGAAUUUUUAUAUGGGAAAGCGGAUAAAACUUUCAUUGGACUGGAAUGUUUGGAGAAUGUUAAAUUCCAAAUCAGGAACCACAAUCCACCCUCUAAUAAGACAUCGGCUAUCUAAGCGUGUGGGUGCCCCCUUUCUGCCAGCAGUUCUGGUUCUUAAGAAAAUCACCAUAAAUCAGACAUGAAAAUUCUGGCUCCAAAAGUAGCAUUUUUUUGUGCAAAUAAAAACGUGUGUAUCAAGUAUGACGUUCCCCCAACGUGGACACACUCGGUUCCUCACAAAGCCAAGCCCGCUGCAGCUGCCACAUCCCUGGACACACUCGGUUCCUCACAAAGCCAAGCCCGCUGCAGCUGCCACAUCCCUGGACACACUCGGUUCCUCACAAAGCCAAGCCCGCUGCAGCUGCCACAUCCCUGGGCUUAUGGUGCAGCGGGUGCUUUUUUCAAGACAGGAAUCAAAGUGUUAGGAACAUGGCAGAAAGGUGACACCUGGAGACCAAAUGCAGGAUGAGAAGUACUGCAGAGGUCACAGGGAAGUCACAGAACAGUAAUACGCUAGCAGGGACAUGGGGCGUGAAGAACAGAAGAAGACAGGAAGCAUUUCAGAGACUCCAAAGAAGAAAUCAGGGCCAACCACAGCUUCCCGGGUCAUUCACCAGGUGGCACCACUGCCGUCAUUUCAGCUUCUGGCCACUGGGAGGUGCUGCUGGAAAGGGUUUGCCCUGAGACUCCAAGAAGAAGCUGCGGGAAGGACAGCAGGGGCCCUGGGGUUUUAGCCUCUGGCCCAGGAGUUAUGUGUCCAUAACCAAAGGGAGCACAGUCUGCACCCAGCUCUCAUCCCAUCAGAGCUGCUGUGACUCCCGCAGGUUCUUCCAGAACUGGUUUAGCUUGCCUGCAGGAUCAGGAAAGUUUGAGAAAAGCAUCUGCAAAAUACUGAAGAGCAGAGCUUACCUCAUUGCCUGUCCCCACCCCAUUCCAGGUCACCACCUGGAUGACCCCAGCUCCCCAACCCAACAACAACCCCUCCCAAGUCCCUAACUCCCUCACUUGGACUUGAGACCCUUCACACCCCAGCAGCGCUCCGCCUCCAUCUUGACAUCAUGCUUUCUGGAAACUUCCCCGUAUGUCCCACUUUCCCACACUUGGUGCCCUGGAGCACCUUCCGGCCUCUACAUGAUGUACGUUCCCCUGUGAGCACCCUCCUCUCGGCCUCUGGCCAACACAGUCCCACCCAUCUGUGGGUAACAAGGGGGUGUUCUUUUCAGCCUUGCUAAACUGUCUGAAUCAAGGAUCACAAACUACAGCCUGCAGGCCAAAUCCAGCCCACAGCCUGUGUUUGUAAAUAAAGCUUUAUUGGAACAAAG
Molecule: long non-coding RNA, 2129 nt
Filed under: Pan troglodytes (chimpanzee)
Lineage: Eukaryota; Metazoa; Chordata; Mammalia; Primates; Hominidae
Description: long non-coding RNA NONPTRT012100
Source: RNAcentral